Molecule: ribosomal RNA, 94 nt
Filed under: uncultured bacterium
Lineage: Bacteria
Description: partial 16S ribosomal RNA
Rfam family: Bacterial small subunit ribosomal RNA
Source: RNAcentral
CACACCGCCCGUCACACCAUGAAAGUUGGCUGUACCAGAAGUCGCUGCACUAACUUCGGAAGUAGGCGCCCAAGGUAUGGUCGAUGAUUGGGUG